This 255-nucleotide long non-coding RNA is filed under the name Elaeis guineensis (African oil palm). RNAcentral describes it as "long non-coding RNA (EGUI_LNC041682)". Lineage: Eukaryota; Viridiplantae; Streptophyta; Magnoliopsida; Arecales; Arecaceae. The record is from RNAcentral.
GAUUCAUAGUCUUUGGUAGCAUUUUGGUUCUCCUAUUAGUGAUCAUCAUAUACUCAUGAGGAGAAUAUCUCUAGAAAGGUCGAUGCUCUCUAGUAAAUCUUCUCAAUUGAGGCUCGACUGGUGGUUCUAGAGAGGUUUUCUCAACAUGCUUAUUAGCGCAUCAUUAUCAAGUAUGAACUCAUCAACUACAUUAUUAUCAUCUUUCUAUACAUCAUCUCUAUUAUCAUCAUUCUCCAUGGUAGGAAGCAUCGGACC